AGCAGCCGCGGUAAUUCCAGCUCCAAUAGCGUAUAUUAAAGUUGCUGCAGUUAAAAAGCUCGUAGUUGAAUUUCGGGACUGAUAUGUCGGUCGUGCCUCGGUACGUACUGGUAUUUUUGGUUUCUCCCUUCUGACGAACCUUGAUGUCAUUAAUUUGGUGUCUUGGGGAAUCAGGACUGUUACUUUGAAAAAAUUAGAGUGUUUAAAGCAGGCUCACGCUUGAAUACAUUAGCAUGGAAUAAUGAAAUAGGACGUUUGAUUCUAUUUUGUUGGUUUCUAGGAUCGACGUAAUGAUUAAUAGGGAUAGUUGGGGGCAUUAGUAUUCAAUUGUCAGAGGUGAAAUUCUUGGAUUUAUUGAAGACUAACUACUGCGAAAGCAUUUUGCCAAGGAUGUUUUCAUUAAUCAAGAACGAAAGUUAGGGGAGUCGAAGACGAUCAGAUACCGUCGUAGUCUUAACC
Molecule: ribosomal RNA, 459 nt
Filed under: uncultured Glomus
Lineage: Eukaryota; Fungi; Glomeromycota; Glomeromycetes; Glomerales; Glomeraceae
Description: SSU rRNA
Rfam family: Eukaryotic small subunit ribosomal RNA
Source: RNAcentral